UGAUGGACUAGGUCGGGCGGUUAGGCCCCGCUCCACCCGCCCCCAGUACGGUCUUGAGGGGGGACCGAACGCCGGGGACGUCCGGUCAGACGGACCCGGGCCCCGCGAGCCAACGUCGAAGCCUCGUCCUGCGGGGACGGCGGUCCGCGCGGUCGCACCUGCAGGGGUGUGCCCGCGUGGUUAACCGGGGGCACCGCGUCAGGCGCGGAAGCGAGCAGCGCACCCCCGGACAGCCAUCGCUCGCAGGGUCGCGGGGUGGAGGAGGCAAGCGGGACUACCCGCGUCCGAACGCCGGGCAACCCCGGUCGUCCACAU
This 315-nucleotide signal recognition particle RNA is filed under the name Halobacteriales archaeon SW_10_68_16. RNAcentral's name for it is "signal recognition particle sRNA". It matches the Rfam family "Archaeal signal recognition particle RNA". The record is from RNAcentral. Lineage: Archaea; Methanobacteriati; Methanobacteriota; Halobacteria; Halobacteriales.